This 278-nucleotide long non-coding RNA is filed under the name Salvia miltiorrhiza (redroot sage). RNAcentral's name for it is "long non-coding RNA (SMIL_LNC013455)". Lineage: Eukaryota; Viridiplantae; Streptophyta; Magnoliopsida; Lamiales; Lamiaceae. The record is from RNAcentral.
UCAUAAUCGGACAAUUCGUUCUAAUUAACAACCUCUUGCCAAAAAAAUCUCACGUUGAUAACCAUUCCUCGUUCACCAAAAAUCUAUCCAAUUUGGUUUUGCAUUGCCCCUGAGGUUGUUGGUACCAAGUAAACUUUCGACCUUGCCUCUAAAUUCUGAAUACUCCCUUUCCGAGCUCAUUCUCACCGAAUUGGAAUCCCCCACGACACAAUUGCACACAUCUCUAUUUUGAUUCAGAACCAAGCUAAGAAACAAUUAUUUCCAAAUGUUGAAAUUCG